UGGGUCGGCAAGACGGUCGCGUCAUUCGUUUGGUUUUCGGAGCAAGCGGGUGCCGAGGAACGUCCGGGCUCCACAGAGCAGGAUGGUGGGUAACACCCACCCGGGGCAACCCGCGAGACAGUGCCACAGAAAGUAGACCGCCUUCGGUGUCGAGCCUUCGGGAACGGCGUCGGAGGUAAGGGUGAAACGGUGGUGUAAGAGACCACCAGAGGCUAGGGUGACCUGGUCGGCUUGGUAAACCUCGUCCGGAGCAAGGUCAGACAGAAAGCGUUGAGGCGGCUCGCCGAGCUUUCGGGUAGACCGCUAGAGGGCUGCGGCAACGUAGUCACGAGAUAGAUGGCCGUCGACGGUGUGCAAACACCUGGACAGAACCCGGCGUACUAGCUGGCCCAUUCC
This 396-nucleotide RNase P RNA is filed under the name Cryobacterium glaciale. Its description in RNAcentral is "Cryobacterium sp. HLT2-23 RNase P RNA component class A". It matches the Rfam family "Bacterial RNase P class A". From Rfam's summary of the family: Ribonuclease P (RNase P) is a ubiquitous endoribonuclease, found in archaea, bacteria and eukarya as well as chloroplasts and mitochondria. Its best characterised activity is the generation of mature 5'-ends of tRNAs by cleaving the 5'-leader elements of precursor-tRNAs. Lineage: Bacteria; Bacillati; Actinomycetota; Actinomycetes; Micrococcales; Microbacteriaceae. The record is from RNAcentral.